This 580-nucleotide ribosomal RNA is filed under the name Terrimonas sp. StRD402. RNAcentral describes it as "bacterial SSU rRNA". It matches the Rfam family "Bacterial small subunit ribosomal RNA", at positions 102 to 680 of the family's 1533-position model. The record is from RNAcentral. Lineage: Bacteria; Pseudomonadati; Bacteroidota; Chitinophagia; Chitinophagales; Chitinophagaceae.
ACGGGUGCGGAACACGUACAGAACCUUCCUUCGAGCGGGGCAUAGCCCGGCGAAAGCCGGAUUAAUACCCCAUAGUAAAAUGAGACGGCAUCGUUUUGUUUUUAAAGAUUUAUCACUUGAAGAUGGCUGUGCGGCUGAUUAGGUAGUUGGCGGGGUAACGGCCCACCAAGCCUUCGAUCAGUAACUGGUGUGAGAGCACGACCAGUCACACGGGCACUGAGACACGGGCCCGACUCCUACGGGAGGCAGCAGUAAGGAAUAUUGGUCAAUGGACGCAAGUCUGAACCAGCCAUGCCGCGUGGAGGAUGAAGGCCCUCUGGGUUGUAAACUUCUUUUAUAUGGGACGAAAAUGGGUCUUUCUAGAUCAACUGACGGUACCAUUUGAAUAAGCACCGGCUAACUCCGUGCCAGCAGCCGCGGUAAUACGGAGGGUGCAAGCGUUAUCCGGAUUCACUGGGUUUAAAGGGUGCGUAGGUGGGUCAGUAAGUCAGUGGUGAAAUCUCUGGGCUCAACCCGGAAACUGCCAUUGAUACUAUUGGUCUUGAAUAUUGUGGAGGUUAGCGGAAUAUGUCAUGUAGCG